GAUGAGGAGGCAUACAAAGGCCUCUACAUUAUGGACAAGACUUCACCCUCCCUACACCUCUGAUGAAUAUAACAGGGAACCUGUUCAAUCACCACGCACUGCAAAAUCAUUCUGGCUUUGGAUACGGAGAACAUCAACACAUUAACAUCAUCAUGCCAGAGGAUA
Molecule: long non-coding RNA, 165 nt
Organism: Coregonus clupeaformis (lake whitefish)
Lineage: Eukaryota; Metazoa; Chordata; Actinopteri; Salmoniformes; Salmonidae
Exons: 3
Source: RefSeq, a predicted model, not a curated record